This 1606-nucleotide ribosomal RNA is filed under the name Salmonella enterica. RNAcentral describes it as "partial 23S ribosomal RNA". It matches the Rfam family "Bacterial large subunit ribosomal RNA", at positions 711 to 2213 of the family's 2925-position model. The record is from RNAcentral. Lineage: Bacteria; Pseudomonadati; Pseudomonadota; Gammaproteobacteria; Enterobacterales; Enterobacteriaceae.
AGACCCGAAACCCGGUGAUCUAGCCAUGGGCAGGUUGAAGGUUGGGUAACACUAACUGGAGGACCGAACCGACUAAUGUUGAAAAAUUAGCGGAUGACCUGUGGCUGGGGGUGAAAGGCCAAUCAAACCGGGAGAUAGCUGGUUCUCCCCGAAAGCUAUUUAGGUAGCGCCUCGUGAAUUCAUCUCCGGGGGUAGAGCACUGUUUCGGCCAGGGGGCCAUCCCGGCUUACCAAUCCGAUGCAAACUGCGAAUACCGGAGAAUGUUAUCACGGGAGACACACGGCGGGUGCUAACGUCCGUCGUGAAGAGGGAAACAACCCAGACCGCCAGCUAAGGUCCCAAAGUCAUGGUUAAGUGGGAAACGAUGUGGGAAGGCCCAGACAGCCAGGAUGUUGGCUUAGAAGCAGCCAUCAUUUAAAGAAAGCGUAAUAGCUCACUGGUCGAGUCGGCCUGCGCGGAAGAUGUAACGGGGCUAAACCAUGCACCGAAGCUGCGGCAGCGAACGUAUCACCCAAGACAACUUUGCACAGUUGACGAUUGACGGAGCGAAGCGACGUCAAAGCGUUUUACAACGUCGAGUUGGCUUAGGGAUACGUUCGUUGGGUAGGGGAGCGUUCUGUAAGCCGUUGAAGGUGGCCUGUGAGGGUUGCUGGAGGUAUCAGAAGUGCGAAUGCUGACAUAAGUAACGAUAAAGCGGGUGAAAAGCCCGCUCGCCGGAAGACCAAGGGUUCCUGUCCAACGUUAAUCGGGGCAGGGUGAGUCGACCCCUAAGGCGAGGCCGAAAGGCGUAGUCGAUGGGAAACGGGUUAAUAUUCCCGUACUUGGUGUUACUGCGAAGGGGGGACGGAGAAGGCUAUGUUGGCCGGGCGACGGUUGUCCCGGUUUAAGCGUGUAGGUGUGUGUUCCAGGUAAAUCCGGUUCACUUUAACACUGAGGCGUGACGACGAGGCACUACGGUGCUGAAGCAACAAAUGCCCUGCUUCCAGGAAAAGCCUCUAAGCCUCAGGUAACAUCAAAUCGUACCCCAAACCGACACAGGUGGUCAGGUAGAGAAUACCAAGGCGCUUGAGAGAACUCGGGUGAAGGAACUAGGCAAAAUGGUGCCGUAACUUCGGGAGAAGGCACGCUGACACGUAGGUGAAGUGGUUUACCCAUGGAGCUGAAGUCAGUCGAAGAUACCAGCUGGCUGCAACUGUUUAUUAAAAACACAGCACUGUGCAAACACGAAAGUGGACGUAUACGGUGUGACGCCUGCCCGGUGCCGGAAGGUUAAUUGAUGGGGUCAGCGCAAGCGAAGCUCCUGAUCGAAGCCCCGGUAAACGGCGGCCGUAACUAUAACGGUCCUAAGGUAGCGAAAUUCCUUGUCGGGUAAGUUCCGACCUGCACGAAUGGCGUAAUGAUGGCCAGGCUGUCUCCACCCGGGACUCAGUGAAAUUGAACUCGCUGUGAAGAUGCAGUGUACCCGCGGCAAGACGGAAAGACCCCGUGAACCUUUACUAUAGCUUGACACUGAACACUGGUCCUUGAUGUGCAGGAUAGGUGGGAGGCUUUGAAGUGUGGACGCCAGUCUGCAUGGAGCCAUCCUUGAAAUACCACCCUUUAAUGG